RNAcentral lists this ribosomal RNA (484 nucleotides) under uncultured bacterium. RNAcentral describes it as "partial 16S ribosomal RNA". It matches the Rfam family "Bacterial small subunit ribosomal RNA", at positions 30 to 507 of the family's 1533-position model. The record is from RNAcentral.
AUUGAACGCUGGCGGCAGGCCUAACACAUGCAAGUCGAGCGGUUGAAGGGAGUUUGUUUCUCGACUCAGCGAGGGGCGGGCGGGUGAUUCCUGGGAAUCUGCCUGGUCUUUGGGGGUGACGUCAGAAAAGGGGAGGUAUUCCAACAUCCGAUCAGAGGGUGAAACAGGAGGAUUUUGGUAGAUCAAGCUAUUUGCUUCACCGAGGUCGGAUUAGCUAGUUGGUGGGGUAAAGGCCUACCAAGGCGAUGAUCCGUAAGUGGCCUGAGAGGAUGAUCAGCCACACUGGAACUGAGACACGGUCCAGACUCCUACGGGAGGCAGCAGUGGGGAAUAUUGGACAAUGGGCGAAAGCCUGAUCCAGCCAUGCCGCGUGUGUGAAGAAGGUCUUCGGAUUGUAAAGCACUUUAAGUUGGGAGGAAGGGCAGUAAGUUAAUACCUUGCUGUUUUGACGGUACCAACAGAAUAAGCACCGGCUAACUACGUG